RNAcentral lists this ribosomal RNA (492 nucleotides) under uncultured bacterium. RNAcentral describes it as "partial 16S ribosomal RNA". It matches the Rfam family "Bacterial small subunit ribosomal RNA", at positions 29 to 507 of the family's 1533-position model. The record is from RNAcentral.
AGUGAACGCUGGCGGUAGGCCUAACACAUGCAAGUCGAACGGCAGCACAGUAAGAGCUUGCUCUUACGGGUGGCGAGUGGCGGACGGGUGAGGAAUACAUCGGAAUCUACUUUUUCGUGGGGGAUAACGUAGGGAAACUUACGCUAAUACCGCAUACGACCUACGGGUGAAAGCAGGGGAUCUUCGGACCUUGCGCGAUUGAAUGAGCCGAUGUCGGAUUAGCUAGUUGGCGGGGUAAAGGCCCACCAAGGCGACGAUCCGUAGCUGGUCUGAGAGGAUGAUCAGCCACACUGGAACUGAGACACGGUCGAGACUCCUACGGGAGGCAGCAGUGGGGAAUAUUGGACAAUGGGCGCAAGCCUGAUCCAGCCAUACCGCGUGGGUGAAGAAGGCCUUCGGGUUGUAAAGCCCUGUUGUUGGGAAAGAAAAGCAGCAGGUUAAUACCCCGCUGUUCUGACGGUACCCAAAGAAUAAGCACCGGCUAACUUCGUG